GAGCCACUUUAAACAGAUGGGUUGGGUCUGGGAGCCACUUUAAACACCAUAGUUGGGUCUGGGAGCCACUUUAAACAGAUGGGUUGGGUCUGGGAGCCACUGUAAACAGAUGGGUUGGGUCUGGGAGCCACUUUAAACACCAUAGUUGGGUCUGGGAGCCACUUUAAACAGAUGGGUUGGGUCUGGGAGCCACUGUAAACAGAUGGGUUGGGUCUGGGAGACACUGUAAACAGAUGGGUUGGGUCUGGGAGACACUUUAAACACCAUAGUUGGGUGAGCUGCUUUAUUGGUUAAUGGAUCAGAUGAAAAGGAAAGAUGGUACUUUAAACAACAUGUUGGAGGCAUUCAUGUGAAAGUCUAGUGCCGAGUUACCUGAAGAGGAUGUAGCAUUGAUUAGGGCUACGCACCUGCCUACCAGGUGACCUGCCUACCAGGUGACCUGCCUACCAGGUGACCUGCCUACCAGGUGACCUGCCUACCAGGUGACCUGCCUACCAGGUGACCUGCCUACCGGGUGACCUGCCUACCGGGUGACCUGCCUACCGGGUGACCUGCCUACCAGGUGACCUGCCUACCAGGUGACCUGCCUACCAGGUGACCUGCCUACCAGGUGACAGAGAAGGAGAUGGGGAGCAAAGUGAGGAUGCCAGCGCUUGGGAACCGCUCUCUGAACCUGUGUUCUGAUGGUGAAGAUGGGGUGAAAGUCCUCAUGUAGGUGGUUCUGUAGCUCAGUUGGUAGAGCAUGGCGCUUGUAACGCCAGGGUAGUGGGUUCGAUUCCCGGGACCACCCAUACGUAGAAUGUAUGCACACAUGACUGUAAGUCGCUUUGGAUAAAAGCGUCUGAUAAAUGGCAUAUAUAAAAAAUGUUGUCAUGUCUAUCUUAACACGUUGUUAAUGCUGUUGUGUUUUGGUGUUUAGUUUUACUUUGCAAGUGUUGUGCCGUCACUCUCUCAGGAACCAGAAGGAGAAAGUUGAAACAGGAGUCAACAGGUCCAGUGGACAAGGUAUUAUCUCUCAGGAACCAGAAGGAGAAAGUUGAAACAGGAGUCAACAGGUCCAGUGGACAAGGUAUUAUCUCUCAGGAACCAGAAGGAGAAAGUUGAAACAGGAGUCAACAGGUCCCGUGGACAAGGUAUUAUCUCUCAGGAACCAGAAGGAGAAAGUUGAAACAGGAGUCAACAGGUCCAGUGGACAAGGUAUUAUCUCUCAGGAACCAGAAGGAGAAAGUUGAAACAGGAGUCAACAGGUCCAGUGGACAAGGUAUUAUCUCUCAGGAACCAGAAGGAGAAAGUUGAAACAGGAGUCAACAGGUCCAGUGGACAAGGUAUUAUCUCUCAGGAACCAGAAGGAGAAAGUUGAAACAGGAGUCAACAGGUCCAGUGGACAAGGUAUUAUCUCUCAGGAACCAGAAGGAGAAAGUUGAAACAGGAGUCAACAGGUCCCGUGGACAAGGUAUUAUCUCUCAGGAACCAGAAGGAGAAAGUUGAAACAGGAGUCAACAGGUCCCGUGGACAAGUUAUUAUCAGUGUCCUGUAAUAAAUGGAAAUGGUGUGAUCAUCGUAUGGGGCGGCAGGUAGCCCAGUGGUUAAAGUGUUGGACAAGUAACCGAAAGGUUGCUGGAUCGAAUCCCCGAGCUGACAAGGUAAAAAUCUGUCGUUCUGCCCCUGAACAAGGCAGUUAACUCACUGUUCCGAGACCAGUCAUUGUAAAUAAGAAUUUGUUCUUAACUGACUUGCCUAGUUAAAAAGGUAAACUAAAAAAUAAAUAAUGACCAAAAAAAACAAACAGUUUAAUGACAAAAAAAAACUGUUUAGAAAUUUUUGCAAAUGUAUUAAAAACUUGUGGUGGGC
Molecule: long non-coding RNA, 1851 nt
Organism: Oncorhynchus keta (chum salmon)
Lineage: Eukaryota; Metazoa; Chordata; Actinopteri; Salmoniformes; Salmonidae
Exons: 3
Source: RefSeq, a predicted model, not a curated record